UAACGCGUAUGCAACCUGUCCGUUACAGGGGGAUAGCCCAUGGAAACGUGGAUUAACACUCCAUAAUAUAAUAUAGAGGCAUCUUUGUAUUAUUAAAUAUUCAUAGGUAACGGUUGGGCAUGCGUCCUAUUAGAUAGUUGGGGGGGUAACGGCCCACCAAGUCGAUGAUAGGUAGGGGUUCUGAGAGGAAGGUCCCCCACACUGGUACUGAGACACGGACCAGACUCCUACGGGAGGCAGCAGUGAGGAAUAUUGGUCAAUGGGCGAGAGCCUGAACCAGCCAAGUCGCGUGAGGGAUGACUGCCCUAUGGGUUGUAAACCUCUUUUGUAUGGGGGGAAUAAGCUUUACGAGUAGAGUGAUGACAGUACCAUACGAAUAAGCAUCGGCUAACUCCGUGCCAGCAGCCGCGGUAAUACGGAGGAUGCGAGCGUUAUCCGGAUUUAUUGGGUUUAAAGGGUGCGUAGGCGGCAUUAUAAGUUAGUGGUAAAAUAUUGGGGCUUCACCUCACUACGCCAUUAAUACUGUAGAGCUAGAGAACAGACGAGGUAGGCGGAAUAAGUUAAGUAGCGGUGAAAUGCAUAGAUAUAACUUAGAACACCGAUAGCGAAGGCAGCUUACCAGACUGAGUCUGACGCUGAUGCACGAGAGCAUGGGUAGCGAACAGGAUUAGAUACCCUGGUAGUCCAUGCCGU
RNAcentral lists this ribosomal RNA (693 nucleotides) under uncultured bacterium. Its description in RNAcentral is "bacterial SSU rRNA". It matches the Rfam family "Bacterial small subunit ribosomal RNA", at positions 111 to 803 of the family's 1533-position model. The record is from RNAcentral.